UUUUAGCGAGGCUGGUCUCAUUGUUAUUUCAAAGGAUAACCCUAAAAGUAACUACAAUUUUCUAUUGACCACCGAUCUAGAAGAGAAGAAAACCCAGUUGUGCGAAUAGAACUAUAAAAAGAAAUUGAAAAUGGGAUUGCAAUGGCCCAAACUUAACCAAUGAAUCGGACCACCUGAAGGCUUCAAAACGGACCAAUUGGAGGCAUGUGGUCGAUUCACAACGGGUCUGUAUGAUUAACCAAACUUCAAACCUAAUGCCUUACCUAAGGCCAUGGUUUUAAAAUUUUCAGAGACGUUAAAGUGAUAGCCCGAACUUGAAUACAUUAAUGUUGCACCUUUCCAUACCAAGCUAAAAACAUCAGAGCUAAAUUCAAGUAGUCAAACUUAUUAACAUAGCACAGUCGAGUAAACGCAGAAACCACUGAACCUUUUUAUAAUGGCCAGACAUCCAGCUGUAUCACUAAUUGCAAGUAUUCAUAAACAAAUAUAUCCUAAAACAACCCACAUAUUAUGAUACUAUUUCAAUUCCUUUCUCUAGACCAAACCUCACUCAAUGAAACAACAUUAAAUACAUAUUAUCCAACUGAGAGACUACAAAUUGAAUCAGUUUAAAAGUUCGAAUAAAAAUGCCAUUUCAUGUUCAGUUUCAGACUCAUGCUUCACAAUUUUUAUUACAGCUGUCAAGGCCAAGCAAAGUACCUGGAAAGAUGAAACAAUGAAGAGAAGAAUAAUCAGCAGCAGGCAGCAGGCAGCAGAAACAAUUGAACCACAGUAGUAAUCUCAGCCCAGAGAGACAGAUCAAUAACCCAGGUACCAAACAGGUGGAGAAAUAGACCAAAAUAGCACUAACUCCAAACAAACGAACUCAGAUGGCAUCCAUAAAAAUUAGCAGGCAUCAAGCUCUAUAAAUUUCAGUUUAAUUCAACCAAAAGUGCUCCAAAACAAACCAGUAAUCCCCGAUAAAAAAUUGAUCAAAAUGAAUUAAAUCAUCAAUGAAACAGUACCCAAAAUGCUUUCUAUUUUUUUUAAAAUUUUUCUUUCUGAAAUUCAGGCGGUUUUCUUCAAGUUGGAAAAAUAGAAAAAGUAUUUUGUCAACUGAAAAUGGUUGAACUAGAAGAAGCCCCUUUGUUAAGGAACUAUUUGAUGCCUUUAUAGGCAAAAUGAGGGCAUCCCUCAUAUUUUCAGUUUGCCUUUUCAGUCCCUGCUUUUUUUACAGCUUUUGUCCCUUAGUUUUUAACUUGAUAAACAAGUACAUACAUCUAACUUGUUGAAAUCUACACUUAUACCCUAUUCUAGAAGCCUCUAGGAUGCUCUUUAGCAAGACAAUUCCUAUACUACCCUUUCCUUGUUUUGGAAUUACUAUUAUUCCCAGAACAAUCCUUUUCAAUCCCAAGAAUGCCCCGCCAAUGAUCUGAAAAAUAUAGUCGAAGGUCAAUUGAUCCCAAUCCCCUCGCCCUAGCUAGAAUUUGACUAGAGUUAACUAAUCCAAAUAUCUUCUCAGUUAUAUCCAAUACACCUAUCUUGACAUUACCUUAAUUAACACUAAAAGCAACUGAACAAUUAACAAACUGAUAAACUGAAAUCAAUCCAAAUCAAAUUCUAAAUCAAUAGAGCAAAGAAAAGCCUAAUUAACUAACGACCAAUUAUCAACAAACACAUUAAAAUUGAAUUAUCAUCAGCAAACUAAAAGUGAAGAACAAUUAUGUCAUGAUUAAACUAAACGUAUAGCACAAAAAAGGACUAGAGUGGGAUUAACAAGAACACCAUUAAGCAGAUAGAAAUAACACAUGACAAAACUGGACGAAUGAAUUUACUAGUUGAAACAGAUGGAAUGACAACAAAGAAAAAAGAUAAAAUAAACUAUACUACGAUACUUACUAUGGAAAUUAAUCGACCCUGAAAAAAUUCCCCAAAACAGUUUCGUUCCCCCAACACCCUAGAUCUGCGAUUCAGGCUCUUCUGCCUGUAUUCGAGGGAUUCUGAGCAUGUUUUAUUGAUUAGGGAGGGAUGAGGGUUAUCUGGUAUUAAUUUGGUGGGAAAAAGAGGCGGCGACGCCAUUGGGAUUCCAAGGCGACAACUAGGGUUCGUAAAUUCUAAGAGGAUUCGAAGAGUUCUUGGUGUGUUCGAACGUUUCUGGCCAUGGAUUGAGGAUGUAGGAGAUGGAGUGGUGUUGGGGUGUUCAUUUGGUAGGGAUUAGACUCCGGCGCCGCCACAUGAGGAGUUGAGGGUAUGAGGGGGGGGCGGGGCGUCGCUAGGGUUUACAGAGAGUAUGGAUAAUUGGAGAGAAGAGGGAUAGGGGGUGGUGC
Molecule: long non-coding RNA, 2306 nt
Filed under: Nicotiana benthamiana
Lineage: Eukaryota; Viridiplantae; Streptophyta; Magnoliopsida; Solanales; Solanaceae
Description: long non-coding RNA (NBEN_LNC004686)
Source: RNAcentral